UACGUAGGUGGCAAGCGUUGUCCGGAAUUAUUGGGCGUAAAGCGCGCGCAGGCGGUCCUUUAAGUCUGAUGUGAAAGCCCACGGCUCAACCGUGGAGGGUCAUUGGAAACUGGGGGACUUGAGUACAGAAGAGAAGAGUGGAAUUCCACGUGUAGCGGUGAAAUGCGUAGAGAUGUGGAGGAACACCAGUGGCGAAGGCGACUCUCUGGGACGGUACUGACGCUGAGACGCGAAAGCGUGGGGAGCAAACAGG
RNAcentral lists this ribosomal RNA (253 nucleotides) under uncultured bacterium. RNAcentral's name for it is "partial 16S ribosomal RNA". It matches the Rfam family "Bacterial small subunit ribosomal RNA", at positions 524 to 776 of the family's 1533-position model. The record is from RNAcentral.